GUCUCGUUUCCAUCAGUUCACAAUACCCACUGUCACCAACACCAGCUACGUUGUUCAUCCGACAACGUUUUCUUCCAUUACAGACAUGUCUAUAGCUGAGUUCUUAGAUGGUAUGCCAUCAUUUGAUGAGCGAAAUUUUUCCAGUUUCCAUUCGGACAAUGGACGAAGUAAACGUGUGCCUGUUUAUAUAUCGACUGAAGAUCAACCAAAUGACCAAAUUAUUGUUACCGACAAGUCAAAUUUAUUACUCCGGUAUUUACACAAUCAAUGGGAUAAAAAGCAUGGAGGUAAGAAGAGAGAAUUAGUUGAUUCUACCGAAGAAGGAGGCUCAACAUCAAGAAAACGUGCAAGAUUAGACUUAGGUGGGGAUGUGUCGCGUUCUGCGUAGUCACACAUGAACACUUACAUAACAAGUGUCUGAACUAUCACGCUUGGUAAGAAGCACAAUUCAAUGUACUACUCAUGUUAUUUUGUGAUUUUUGUUUGAAGAUACAUUUUUGCAAAACUACAGUUAUAAAGGACAAAAAAAUAAGAAAGUCUUCUCUAUUUUGGUUUUUUGUUCAACAAUUUGUGAGGACGCUAUACUCGCAUAUGUUAUCUCCGUCAAACAUAGUAUUAAUACUUAUUAAUAUUUUAUACAAAAAUAACGUUUAUUAUGAUGAAAUUAAAAUAACU
This 675-nucleotide unclassified non-coding RNA is filed under the name Sipha flava (yellow sugarcane aphid). RNAcentral describes it as "dET1- and DDB1-associated protein 1-like, transcript variant X1". The record is from RNAcentral. Lineage: Eukaryota; Metazoa; Arthropoda; Insecta; Hemiptera; Aphididae.